AAUUUAUUAUAAUGGGAGUAUUAUAGAUGACUUAGUGAAGUUGGAAAGGCGUUUUAGAGUGGAAAAUGGCAGGAAGCAGCAUUAACAGAGGAGAAAGAUGGUCUCUCAAUGGAAUGACUGCUCUUGUCACCGGCGGCACUCGUGGGAUCGGGCACUCCAUAGUGAGUGACUUGGCUGCGUUUGGCGCUGCAGUGCACACCUGUUCCAGGACCCAAACAGAGCUCAACAAAUGCUUACAAGAGUGGCAGAGUCAGGGGUUUCAGGUAACUGGGUCGCUCUGUGACGUGUCCUCACCACCCCAGAGAGAGAAGCUCAUUCAGGAAGUUGCAUCCACCUUCAAUGGCAAGCUUAACAUCUACGUGAACAAUGUUGGAAUAAACAUUAGAAAGCCAACCAUUGAGUACACUGCUGAAGAAUAUUCACAGAUUAUGACAGUUAAUUUAGACUCCUCAUUCCAUCUGUGCCAACUUGCAUAUCCUCUUCUGAAAGCAUCUGAAAAGGGAAGCAUUGUGUUCAUUUCAUCUGUUGCUGGUGUAGUGAGUUUAGGUACUGGAGCUGUCUUUGCAGCAAGUAAAGCUGCAAUUAAUCAGCUUACAAAAAACCUGGCUUGUGACUGGGCCAAAGACAACAUACGGAGCAACUGUGUUGUACCAUGGGCAACCAGAACCCCGGUUGUAGAACAUGGCCAGCUUGACGUUCAGCCUUCUUUCUCUCACACACACUCUCUCUACUAAAGUCGCAAACACAAACACUUUGUGAAGUGAAGCAAUGGAGUUUCAGAUUUAGAUCUCGUGCUAAAUCAUCGAUCCGAGAGAGAGAAAGAGAGAGGUGUUGGAUUAUUGAUUCGCCGAAGCAUUUGAGGGUUUAUCACACACCAUUCUCAAACCCUUCGUCAAUCAGACGAAAACCAAAAAAUGCAAACUUCUUCGUCAAUCUCCACAACAUGACCAGCAGUGUGAUUCUCAGAAGAUCCUCUUCCGUAAUCUCGCGCCGCUUCUUCGCCGCUCUUGCCUCCAUCGAGCCGCUUCCUCACAGGUUCCCCGCCGACAAGUAUGGUGUCUCCGACGACGGAUCCCGAACCAUUCACACGAAGCCCGGACCGUUGAAUUUCCACGCGUCGGCGGUUCCUCGUGCGGCGCAGUUCGCCGUCUAGCGCGAUUACUCUAACUACGAGGAGGUUAGCGGCGCGAAUAGUGACGAAGGACUAGAGAUUGCGAAUCUUGGGAUGGAUACGCAGAUUGUAGAUGCUCUAGCCAAGAAAGGGAUUGCAAAGCUCUUCCCCAUUCAGGGGACAGAGAUGGUUAUAUGAGUGAUCCUGGGCAUGAUCUAAAUGAAAGGGGUUCUGUUUCUUCCUUAAAUGCACAUAGGGAGUCUGUUUUUGGUAAGCUUCAAAGGAUAAAUAAAUUGUUCCUAUCUGUGUUUGAAAUUAGUUUCCCUGAGGUUGGAUUUAUGAACAGCUUAAUUGGAAAUGAUCGAAGCUCAAUUUGAUGUUUGGCUUAGGCAAAGCCCUCAGUGAUUUGGAAAUCCAGUACACCUCUGUUUCAAAUUCUUGUUAAAUCAGUCUUAUAUGUGAAUAAUAUCAAGACAACACUCAUUAAUUGA
This is an RNA transcript of Glycine soja, 1602 nucleotides long. It is a transcript of the gene named tropinone reductase homolog At5g06060-like, with no coding region annotated. The record is from RefSeq and is a predicted model, not a curated record. The transcript is spliced from 7 exons. Lineage: Eukaryota; Viridiplantae; Streptophyta; Magnoliopsida; Fabales; Fabaceae.